GCGAGUGGCGAACUGGUGAGUAACACGUGGGAAUCUGCCCAGAAGCAGGGGAUAACACUUGGAAACAGGUGCUAAUACCGUAUAACAACAAAAUCCGCAUGGAUUUUGUUUGAAAGGUGGCUUCGGCUAUCACUUCUGGAUGAUCCCGCGGCGUAUUAGUUAGUUGGUGAGGUAAAGGCCCACCAAGACGAUGAUACGUAGCCGACCUGAGAGGGUAAUCGGCCACAUUGGGACUGAGACACGGCCCAAACUCCUACGGGAGGCAGCAGUAGGGAAUCUUCCACAAUGGACGAAAGUCUGAUGGAGCAAUGCCGCGUGAGUGAAGAAGGGUU
This 332-nucleotide ribosomal RNA is filed under the name Levilactobacillus brevis. RNAcentral describes it as "bacterial SSU rRNA". It matches the Rfam family "Bacterial small subunit ribosomal RNA", at positions 91 to 417 of the family's 1533-position model. The record is from RNAcentral. Lineage: Bacteria; Bacillati; Bacillota; Bacilli; Lactobacillales; Lactobacillaceae.